RNAcentral lists this ribosomal RNA (405 nucleotides) under uncultured bacterium. Its description in RNAcentral is "bacterial SSU rRNA". It matches the Rfam family "Bacterial small subunit ribosomal RNA", at positions 29 to 416 of the family's 1533-position model. The record is from RNAcentral.
AACGAACGCUGGCGGCGUGCCUAACACAUGCAAGUCGUGCGAGAAAGUUCCUUCGGGAGCGAGUAAAGCGGCGCACGGGUGAGUAACACGUAGGUAACCUGCCCCCCAGUCUGGAACAACUAGAGGAAACUCUAGCUAAUGCCGGAUGAGACCACGAUCCCUUCGGGGGUUGCGGCCAAAGAUGGCCUCUACUUGUAAGCUAUCGCUGAGGGAUGGGCCUGCGGGCCAUUAGCUUGUUGGUGAGGUAACGGCUCACCAAGGCUGUGAUGGCUAGCUGGUCUGAGAGGAUGACCAGCCACACUGGGACUGAGACACGGCCCAGACUCCUACGGGAGGCCAGCAGUGGGAAUAUUGCGCAAUGGGCGAAAGCCUGACGCAGCGACGCCCGCGUGGGUGAUGAAGGCC